Molecule: small nuclear RNA, 112 nt
Organism: Sorex fumeus (smoky shrew)
Lineage: Eukaryota; Metazoa; Chordata; Mammalia; Eulipotyphla; Soricidae
Source: RefSeq, a predicted model, not a curated record
GUCUUAUACUCACUUCAGCAACACAUAUGCUAAAAUUGGAACAAUACAGAUAAGAUUAGUCUGGCCCCUUUGCAUGGAUGACAUGCAAAUUCAUGAGGGGCUCCAUGUUUUC